GGCUAGGGGUCUAAUCAGAGCUGUAGCCUCUGCCGAUGCCACAGGCACAGCAACAUGGGAUCCAAACUGCGUCUGCAACCUAUACCACAGCUCAUGGCAAUGCCGGAUCCUUAACCCACUGAGAGAGGCCAGGGAUCGAACCUGCAACCUCAUGGUUUCUAGUCGGAUUCGUUUCCGCUGCGCCACGAUGGGACCUCCAUAAUUAGAUAAUACUUUAUUGCUAAAAAUGCUCAACUAUCAUCUGAGCCUUCAGCCAGUCAUAGUAGUGACCUCAAAGAUCACUGAUCACAGUUUGCCAUAAUAAAUACAUAAAUGAAAAAGUUUGAAAUGCUGUGAGGAUUACCAAAACAUGACACAGGGACAUGACCUGAGCAAACGCUGCUGGAAAAACGGUGCUUGAUGCAGGGUUGCCACAAACCUUCAAUUUGUGAAAAAUGAUCAUUUGCAGAAUGCAUGAAGCAAAGUGCAGUACAAUGAGGCGUUAUAAUGCAAUGCCUCUGUUGAGGUUAGUGAUGCAAUGGCAGCGACUAGUCCAGCAGAGGGAAUAUGGUUGUAAGAAGUUUAAGGUUUGAGGAUUUCCCCUCGUGGCUCAGCGGUCAGUGAAUUUGACCAGGGUCCAUGAGGAUGCGGGUUCGAUCCCUGGCCUUGCUCAGCAGGUUAAGGAUCCUGUGUUGCUGUGUCUGUGGUGUAGGCCAGCAGCUGUAGCUCCCAUUCCACCCCUAGUCUGGAAACGUUCAUAUGCUGCGAGUAUGGCCCUAAAAAGCAAAAAAAAGUUUAAGGUUCGAGGUCUAAAUUUUUUUUUAGGUAUCUCCUGUCUUUAAUUCAUUAAUUUUAAAAAAGUGUAUAAUUUUUAAAGGUUACUUCCAUUUACAGCUAUUUCAAAAUAUUGGCUAUAUUCCCUGUGUUGGACAGUACGUCCUUGAUCUAUCGUACACCCAAGAGUUUGUAUCGCCUCCCUCACCCCUUUAUUGCCCCUCCCUCCUCACUGGUAACCCUGAGUUCGUUCUCUAUAUCUGUGGCUCUGCUUCUUUCGUAUUAUAUUCACUGUGUGUUGCAUUUUUUUAGAUUCCACAUGUAAAUGAUAUUGUACAGUAUUUGUCUUUCUCUGCCCGACUUAUGUUACUAACAUAAUGCCCUCCACGCCUAUCCAUGUGGCUGCAAAGGGCAUUAUUUCAUUCUUUUUUUUGGCUGAGUAAUAUUCCAUUUUGUGUGUGUGUUUGUGUUUACACCUCUUCUUUAUCCAGUCAUCUGUGGAUGGUACUUAGGUUGCUUCCAUAUCUGGCAAUUAUAAACUAUGCUGCUCUGAACAUGAGGGUGCAAAUAUCUAUUUGAAUUAUUGUUUUUGUUUUUUUCAGAUAUAUACCCAGGAGUGGAAUUGCUGGGUCCUAUGUUAGUUCUAUUUUUAGUUUUUUGAAGAAUCUCUGUACUGUUUUCCACAGUGGCUGCACCCAUUUACAGUCUCAUGAACUGGUGUAUGAGGGUUCCCUUUUCACCACAUCUUGAGGUCUAAAUUUUUUUGUCCUUUUAGGGCCACACCUGUGGCAUUUGGAGGUUCCCAGGCUAGCAGUCUAAUCAGAGCUAUUGCUGCUGGCCUACACCACAGCCACAGCAAUGCCAGAUCUGAGCUGCAUCUUCGACCUACACCAUAGCUCGUGGCAACGCCGGAUCCUUAACCCACUGAGUGAGGCCAGGGAUCGAACCUGCAACCUCAUGGUUCCUGGUCGGAUUCGUUUCUGCUGCGCCACAGCAGGAACUCUGAGGUCUAAAUUUUGACUUUUAAUUCCAUAGUUGGUCUUUUGGCUUCUCUCUGCCUCCCAUUUCCACACUCUCGGGUGACACUGCUAAGAAACACUUCCACUUCUUUGUCUUAAGAUUACCCUCUGAAUUUAUAGACACCUAGAAAAUGCCUCAGUGACAUAAAAUGUUCACCCAACAGCUCAGCCUCCUGGUAUCUGAAUCUCUACCAUAAGUGAUGGAAGGAUAAGGAAUGGCCCAGUCCCCAUAGGCACACCUCUGUAUGUGAAAUGGAUGCUCCAUGGGGACCUGAUGUAUAGUACAGGGACCUCUAUUCAGUAUUCCGACUUAACCUCUGUGGGAAAAGAAUCUGAAAAAGAACGGAUAUGUGUGUGUGUAUAACUGAAUCUCUUUGUUGUACAGCAGAAGUUAGCACCACAUUGUGUAUCAACUAUACUUCAGUAAAGCUUAAAAAAAGAAAAAAAAAAAAAAAAAAAAAA
RNAcentral lists this long non-coding RNA (2234 nucleotides) under Sus scrofa (pig). RNAcentral describes it as "lncRNA (ENSSSCG00015074962.1)". The record is from RNAcentral. Lineage: Eukaryota; Metazoa; Chordata; Mammalia; Artiodactyla; Suidae.